UACGAAGGUGGCUAGCGUUGUUCGGAAUUACUGGGCGUAAAGCGCAUGUAGGCGGUUCUUUAAGUCAGGGGUGAAAUCCCGGGGCUCAACCCCGGAAUUGCCUUUGAUACUGGGGAGCUAGAGUUUGGGAGAGGUGAGUGGAAUUCCGAGUGUAGAGGUGAAAUUCGUAGAUAUUCGGAGGAACACAAGUGGCGAAGGCGGCUCACUGGCCCGAAACUGACGCUGAGAUGCGAAAGCGUGGGGAGCAAACAGG
RNAcentral lists this ribosomal RNA (253 nucleotides) under uncultured bacterium. RNAcentral's name for it is "partial 16S ribosomal RNA". It matches the Rfam family "Bacterial small subunit ribosomal RNA", at positions 524 to 776 of the family's 1533-position model. The record is from RNAcentral.